GGGGUUAUAGCUCAGUGGUAGAGCGCUCGCUUUGCAUCCUCGCAAGUAUGCGAGAGGUCAAGGGUUCGAUCCCCUUUGACUCCA
This is a non-coding RNA of Aspergillus niger ATCC 1015, 84 nucleotides long. NCBI's taxonomy places the organism in Eukaryota, Fungi, Ascomycota, Eurotiomycetes, Eurotiales, Aspergillaceae. The record is from Rfam.